RNAcentral lists this ribosomal RNA (750 nucleotides) under uncultured bacterium. RNAcentral's name for it is "bacterial SSU rRNA". It matches the Rfam family "Bacterial small subunit ribosomal RNA", at positions 61 to 778 of the family's 1533-position model. The record is from RNAcentral.
GUCGAACGAAACUUCUUUAUCACCGAGUGCUUGCACUCACCGAUAAAGAGCUGUGUGGCGAACGGGUGAGUAACACGUGGGCAACCUGCCCAAAAGAGGGGGAUAACACUUGGAAACAGGUGCUAAUACCGCAUAACCAUAGUUACCGCAUGGUAACUAUGUAAAAGGUGGCUAUGCUACCGCUUUUGGAUGGGCCCGCGGCGCAUUAGCUAGUUGGUGGGGUAAAGGCUUACCAAGGCAAUGAUGCGUAGCCGAACUGAGAGGUUGAUCGGCCACAUUGGGACUGAGACACGGCCCAAACUCCUACGGGAGGCAGCAGUAGGGAAUCUUCCACAAUGGGCGAAAGCCUGAUGGAGCAACGCCGCGUGGGUGAAGAAGGUCUUCGGAUCGUAAAACCCUGUUGUUAGAGAAGAAAGUGCGUGAGAGUAACUGUUCACGUUUCGACGGUAUCUAACCAGAAAGCCACGGCUAACUACGUGCCAGCAGCCGCGGUAAUACGUAGGUGGCAAGCGUUAUCCGGAUUUAUUGGGCGUAAAGGGAACGCAGGCGGUCUUUUAAGUCUGAUGUGAAAGCCUUCGGCUUAACCGGAGUAGUGCAUUGGAAACUGGGAGACUUGAGUGCAGAAGAGGAGAGUGGAACUCCAUGUGUAGCGGUGAAAUGCGUAGAUAUAUGGAAGAACACCAGUGGCGAAAGCGGCUCUCUGGUCUGUAACUGACGCUGAGGUUCGAAAGCGUGNGUAGCAAACAGGAU